RNAcentral lists this non-coding RNA (28 nucleotides) under Homo sapiens (human). Lineage: Eukaryota; Metazoa; Chordata; Mammalia; Primates; Hominidae. The record is from RNAcentral.
UCAGGGAGUAUGAGAUAUGGAAAAAUGC